RNAcentral lists this microRNA precursor (78 nucleotides) under Myotis lucifugus (little brown bat). RNAcentral describes it as "mir-9193 microRNA precursor family". It matches the Rfam family "mir-9193 microRNA precursor family". The record is from Rfam by way of RNAcentral. Lineage: Eukaryota; Metazoa; Chordata; Mammalia; Chiroptera; Vespertilionidae.
CUUGGGGCGGGGGGAGGUGUUCCUCAGCCUGGAUUGUGAAAGGAUGCAGGCCAGGCUGAGGGACCCCACCGGUGCACA